RNAcentral lists this ribosomal RNA (22 nucleotides) under Luxemburgia glazioviana. RNAcentral's name for it is "partial 26S ribosomal RNA". Lineage: Eukaryota; Viridiplantae; Streptophyta; Magnoliopsida; Malpighiales; Ochnaceae. The record is from RNAcentral.
UACCCGCUGAGUUUUAAGCAUA